UAACGCGUGAGGAACCUGCCUUGAAGAGGGGGACAACAGUUGGAAACGACUGCUAAUACCGCAUGACGCAUAGAGGUCGCAUGAUCUUUAUGCCAAAGAUUUAUCGCUUCAAGAUGGCCUCGCGUCUGAUUAGCUAGUUGGCGGGGUAACGGCCCACCAAGGCGACGAUCGGUAGCCGGACUGAGAGGUUGAACGGCCACAUUGGGACUGAGACACGGCCCAG
Molecule: ribosomal RNA, 223 nt
Filed under: uncultured bacterium
Lineage: Bacteria
Description: partial 16S ribosomal RNA
Rfam family: Bacterial small subunit ribosomal RNA
Source: RNAcentral